AGUGAGUAAACUCAUUUUAUAUGAAAACGCGUCAUAUCCAAGUUCUGGUGCUGUGAACUAAAUGUGUUAUAAUGGGAUAACUAGGAGUACGUACCGUUCUUCUAUAGUUGUUACAGAGAACGGAAUCAAACCAAAGCAGGUUACAAGCACUCAAUGGACAAACACUAAGUGUACCAAAUGUACUAUACCAUAUUAAGGAUUCCAAAUCAGGUAGCUAUCUGCUAAACAGCGCCCUAAUUUGGUAUCAUUUGGAAUUGUGGGAAUAAUGGUGCCUGAAUUUU
Molecule: non-coding RNA, 281 nt
Organism: Pelobates cultripes (western spadefoot toad)
Lineage: Eukaryota; Metazoa; Chordata; Amphibia; Anura; Pelobatidae
Source: the annotation of a GenBank genome assembly